AGGAGGAUUGAGAAAGUGUGGCAGCCAGAUCAAUGUUGCCAUAACUGCGUAUUCCCUCCAACAGUAAGAGUGGCAAAUGACUCUUUUCUAACAGCCUAACUCUACUACAGGCUGUAUGUGGUGAUUUGCCUACACUAC
Small nucleolar RNA from Engraulis encrasicolus (European anchovy), 138 nucleotides. RefSeq annotates it as small nucleolar RNA SNORA47. NCBI's taxonomy places the organism in Eukaryota, Metazoa, Chordata, Actinopteri, Clupeiformes, Engraulidae. The record is from RefSeq and is a predicted model, not a curated record. The transcript has a single exon.